AGUGAACGCUGGCGGCGUGCUUAACACAUGCAAGUCGAACGAGAACGGCUUAUAGCUUGCUAUAAUUGUCAGCUAAGUGGCGCACGGGUGAGUAAUGUAUAGGUAAUAUGCCUCUUACUCAGGGAUAACAAUUGGAAACGUUUGCUAAUACCUUAUACUCCUUAUUAACAUAAGUUAAUAAGGGAAAGAUUUAUUGGUAAGAGAUUAGCCUGUAUUGUAUCAGUUAGUUGGUGGGGUAAUGGCUUACCAAGACUAUGACACAUAACUGGUUUGAGAGGAUGAUCAGUCACACUGGAACUGAGACACGGUCCAGACUCCUACGGGAGGCAGCAGUGGGGAAUAUUGCACAAUGGACGAAAGUCUGAUGCAGCAACGCCGCGUGGAGGAUGACACAUUUCGGUGCGUAAACUCCUUUUAUAUGAGAAGAUAAUGACGGUAUUAUAUGAAUAAGCACCGGCUAACUCCGUGCCAGCCGCCGCAGUAA
This 484-nucleotide ribosomal RNA is filed under the name uncultured bacterium. RNAcentral describes it as "partial 16S ribosomal RNA". It matches the Rfam family "Bacterial small subunit ribosomal RNA", at positions 29 to 523 of the family's 1533-position model. The record is from RNAcentral.